This 497-nucleotide ribosomal RNA is filed under the name uncultured bacterium. RNAcentral's name for it is "partial 16S ribosomal RNA". It matches the Rfam family "Bacterial small subunit ribosomal RNA", at positions 28 to 507 of the family's 1533-position model. The record is from RNAcentral.
GAUGAACGCUGGCGGCGUGCCUAAUACAUGCAAGUCGAGCGAACAGACGAGGAGCUUGCUCCUCUGACGUUAGCGGCGGACGGGUGAGUAACACGUGUAUAACCUACCUAUAAGACUGGUAUAACUUCGGGAAACCGGAGCUAAUACCGGAUAAUAUAUUGAACCGCAUGGUGCAAUAGUGAAAGACGGUGGUGCUGUCACUUAUAGAUGGAUCCCCGCCGCAUGAGCUAGUUGGUAAGGUAACGGCUUACCAAGGGGACGAUGCGUAGCCGACCGCAGAGGGUGAUCGGCCACCCUGGAAGGGAGCCGCGGUCCAGACUCCUACGGGAGGCAGCAGUAGCGAAUCUUCCGCAGUGGUCGAAAACCUGACGGAGCAACGCCGAGUGAGUGAUGAAGGUCUUCGGAUCGUAAAACUCUGUUACUAGUGAAGAACAAAUGUCUAAGUAACUAUGCACUUCUUGACGGUACCUAAUCAGAAAGCCACGGCUAACUACGUG